CCUACGGGUGGCACCAGUGGGGAAUAUUGGACAAUGGGCGAAAGCCUGACCCAGCAAUGCCACGUGUGUGAAGAAGGUCUUCGGGUUGUAAAGCACUUUCGACGGGGACGAUGAUGACGGUACCCGUAGAAGAAGCCCCGGCUAACUUCGUGCCAGCAGCCGCGGUAAUACGAAGGGGGCUAGCGUUGCUCGGAAUGACUGGGCGUAAAGGGCGCGUAGGCGGUUUAUGCAGUCAGAUGUGAAAUCCCCGGGCUUAACCUGGGAACUGCAUUUGAGACGCAUAGACUAGAGGUCGAGAGAGGGUUGUGGAAUUCCCAGUGUAGAGGUGAAAUUCGUAGAUAUUGGGAAGAACACCGAUGGCGAAGGCGGCAACCUGGCUCAAUACUGACGCUGAGGCGCGAAAGCAUGGGGAGCAAACAGGAUUAGAUACCCGUGUAGUC
Molecule: ribosomal RNA, 440 nt
Filed under: uncultured bacterium
Lineage: Bacteria
Description: bacterial SSU rRNA
Rfam family: Bacterial small subunit ribosomal RNA
Source: RNAcentral